RNAcentral lists this long non-coding RNA (6139 nucleotides) under Patiria miniata (bat star). Its description in RNAcentral is "uncharacterized LOC119732570, transcript variant X3". The record is from RNAcentral. Lineage: Eukaryota; Metazoa; Echinodermata; Asteroidea; Valvatida; Asterinidae.
UAAAACCUAACCUUAACUCCUUAGGGGAUGUGCAAAAUCGUAUUAAAAUUGGAGGAUUCAGGACUGUUAACAUUUCAAGUUAGCUUUACAGUUGUCUUAACUCUGCUAAAUGAACAGAAAUUAAAAGUUUUCAAAUAGUGCAGCACAAUUUAAACUUUCUAGCUAUAUGACAGGAACAUUAUUUUGAAAUCUGCAUGGACAAGCAAAACUGAAAUUAAAUCACACUUAGAUGAGUAUGAUAAAUAGGCUCUGUUAUAAAAAAAUAUCAGCUAGUGAACCUAAAAGUUGCUGUAUUAUAUUAAACACCACAUUAAGCAAAAGCCUUUUUAUCGGUGACAACCAAUAAAUUUGAGCAUAAUUUUAAGCUAAUUUGAAGAAAAAAAAUACGGAACUUAUUUUUUAGUAAUAACCACAUGGUCUUAAAGUAGAGGGAAGUAUAGGUUGGACCUGGACAAACUUGGAACAAUGGUCAGUACAGAGCAGUAAAUUUAAAAGAUUUUGAAAGCCUUCAUGGAGAAACUCUGAGAGUUGCUUCCAUCGCACCUGGAUAAACGUGAACUGGAAAGACAAACUAUGAAAUCAUGUCAUGAGGAUGACACUGUCAGGACAAGGAACUAUAAAAGAUUUCAUCCAGAGGACAGUGUGAUGAAUAUGAUGUAAGCCACAAUGUGUGGAAGGAAGCAAAUCUAGUGAGGGAUUCAUCACUUGAACAAGGAAGUUGCCGUUGAACUGUAUGAUUUGGAUGAAAGAUCAACAUUAAAGGCAACGCUUCAGCAGCAGCUGGCUUUCAGAAAAAGGAUGUAUAUGACUUUAAUGACUGUUUUUAUGAGUGGGAGUACUGCUGCAUAACUUUACAUCUUAACCUUGGAAGCACAAUUGAAGGAAACGCCUACCAUGAUCUCCAUGCCAUUCUGGAAACGUGACACUUACAGGAGGAGCAGGAGAGUACUGACUUGAACUUUGGAGAACAAUUGACUUUCUGAUGUUGGAUCAAAGGAAUUUGAUGACUUUCUGAUGUUGGGACUAGCCUGUGGAAUUCGCCAUCUUUACUGCCAGAGGACACAUGAGUCAUUCUGGAAACCCAAAGGUCUGAAGAUACUCCUGAGACGUUAACUGGCUGUGAUGAGCAUGACCAAGACGCCUGGAUUGCAGAAGGCUUCUGAUCUUAAUACUUCACCAGAGGGUGCCCGAUGGACCUGACAUCUUGAAUAGAGGCCGGGGGACAAGAUUGCAUGUUCAUAAGGUGAGGUAACCAUUGUAUGCAGGCGUGAGCAUGCACAAGACCCCCGGAUGUUGCCGCCGUACAGUUUGCAAGUGGAGUCGCGAUGGAUUGUGUGGUAGGUUAGAACGAGGGGGACAAGGUUGCAUGUAAACCCAGGUGAGGUAACCAUUUCUCUGCAGCUCUUCUAGGCCACAUGCCUCAAGACUUGUCCCCCUGGAUUCUGGAUGUUGUUCUGUGGAUUGUGCAGAGUGGUAUCCUGUUUUGACUGUUCUAACCAGGAUAGGCCUAUUCAUCUUGCUGUGGGUGGCCUGAAGAUGCAUCAGUGUCUUGUCAGAGUUAUGGGCAGAAAGAAGACUGAUGAGAAACGCACCAGAGACAAGAUAUCUGCUGCAGUACCUGUCAACGAGGACUAUCAGCAUUUUAAGGUUGUAGACUACUGGCACCAUUCAAUGCCACAUCACCAGAGCGGGAGCAAACAUCAUGGCUCUACCACAUCAGCCUUCCUGCGACAACGCUCGGCCUCGAUCAGUCGGAUCUACCAGGCACAUAUCAGCAAGAACUGUGAUCCUCUCAUAUCACCCACCUUUUCUCAGCGGGUCACAACCAGAAGGCAGACUGAUGAGUAAGACACAAGAUAUCUGCUGCAGUAACUGUGAGCAAGGACUAUCGGCAUUGUAAGGUGGACCAUACAUCAAAUAUAAUCAUCAGACCUUGGCGGAGACAAUACUCCUCAUGAGUGGAUCCAGAAGGCAGACUGAUAUGGGGCUUCAGAGGCUCGGCCAGUAGCCAGGAAGUUACAUCUCAGACCAAUGGGGAGACACACUUGAAGUUGUUGCAAAUUUGGAUCAAACUGGACAGCAUCAGACACUACAGAAGGAACUAAGCAUUUUUUGGGGGGCAGUAAUUUGGACACACAACGCCUCCCCCCCCCCCCCCACCUGGAUAACUUGAGCUUGGAGACUUCGCUGAUGAGGAUUCAGACCCACGGAGGAACUGGAUUGGUGCACAUUAUUCAACUGGAUGGCAAAACAAACCAAACUGAAAACUCGCAUAAUUUCUCGCAAUUUCACUAGACAGUUAAUGAGAACUUUACUGUAUUAAUUAAUUGACUGUUGCAGACAUUGAUGUCUGAUGUUCAUCUUGCAAGAAAAAAGGGAUGCAAUGCUCAAACUGUGUAAACAAAUCCAAGCACAUGAUCGCUGUAAACACACGGGACCCUUGGAAAAACAACUGUGCGUGCUCAUUAGUGUUUUUUACUGAAGAUCGAUGGAACUGUUCAUCAUCAGAACUCUAAUGAAUGGUGGUGGGAACAAUUUAAACAGCUGAGUUUUUUUAUUUUUGUCUAGAUUUUCAAAUAUGUGUUUGUGAUCAUGCCGGAUAUCAAUGUUGGUGGUUUCUCUACAGGUUGUGGCUCAAAUUUAGCAUAUGGGCUGCAAGACUAUGGACUAUGGGAUCAUCUAUAUCCCUAUGUCCUUCAGACGGCAUAGAUGAUGGGAUCAGAUUCCCAACACAGGACCAGCAGGACUAUGGGAUCUUCUAUAUCCCUACGUCCAUCCGGGGCGGAUCUUGGGUGGUAGUUGAAGGGGGUUAUCCAAUAUCACCUCCCUGGGGAGCAAAUACGUAUUUAAGCAACAUUCAAUAUUACUCCUGGGAGGAGAACAGCUAAAGUUGUAAUGAUCAUCACAGACAUUUUAGAGUGGUUAUCAAUAAAACAAAAUAGGAAUAGGUUAAGGAAUUUGCCCCCAGCUCCAUCGCUUCAAGGCUCUACAAAUUUAAUUUAAUACAAGUAGCACACCGCCUUUAGGGCAUAAACACGUACUUCCCAUGGGGACUGUUUAAAAAAAAAAAUUCUAGCAAACCUCAAAUUUAUAAUUUAGUGGAAUCACGCUUAUAUCCAUCUAAUAACUUAAGACUAUGGGAUCACCUAUAUCCCUAUGUCGUUUUAGGGCUAAGGUGGAGUUCACUGGGUCUCUAACCGAGAAGUGCGGCAAAAACCCAGAUGCGAAAUGGACUGGGCGGCCGUCAUGGUUACGGGCCCUUGUCUGGUGACACUAGGAUGCUUGUCUGGAGCAAAACAUUGAAAAGAAGGGAUUAGAUUCCCAACACAGGACCAGCAGGACUAUGGGAUCAUCUAUAUCCCUACGUCCAUCCGGGUUCACUGAGAAACAUUGGAAUCACCUCUAUAAGUUGCCCCUGGAUUAACUUUUGACAAUAUUCAAGACAAACUUGGAAAUCGUAAAGACGGCAUUGCUGGAACAAGGGAACUAAAAACAUUUCAUAAGAAAAAAGUGUGACGAACAGAUGUUUACGGAAGGAGGCAAAUCUUCAUCAUCAUCCAGUGGAGGGACUCAUCACUGAGAUAAAGGACAAAGAACUUCUCAUCAGCGUGUGUGAUUUGGACUAAGGUUCACUAACAGAGGCAACUGUGCAGAAACUUUUGGAGAACGGACUUUAUAUACAAACUGUUGUUAUGAGCGUUGCAUCUCUCCACUGAGGACUCGGUGCAAACUGCUGCGUCACUUCACCAUAAUCUUGGAAGCACAGUUGGAGAACUUGCCUAUGCCAUUUCGGGGACCUUGACACUUGGAGGAUGAGCUUUUUUAGAAAGACAGUGACUUUCUGAUAUUAGACAAGUGAAAUUCUGAUGACCUUCUGAUGUUGGGAUCAACAGCAUUCACCAUCUUCACUACCAUUGGAGGCAUGUCCCAUUCUGGAAACUCUUGAGGUCAGCAGAUACCCUUGAGGCGUUAUCUGGCUGUGAGCAUGACCAAGACGCUUGUGCAGAAUUCUGGGAUGGGCAGACCGAAGGACCAGACAUCUUGGGUAGAGGCCGGGGGACACGUUUGUAUGUUCAUAAGGUAAGGUAACCAUUGUAUGCAGGCUUGAACAUGCACAAGACCCCCGGAUGUUGCCGUACAGUUUGCAAGUGGAGUCGCUUGGAUUGUGUGGUAGAUUAGAACGAGGGGGACAAGGUUGCAUGUAAACCCAGGUGAGGUAACCAUUUCUCUGCAGCUCUUCUAGGCCACAUGCCUCAAGACUUGUCCCCCUGGAUUCUGGAUGUUGUUCUGUGGAUUCUGGAUGUUGUUCUGUGGAUUGUGCAGAGUGGUAUCCUGUUUUGACUGAUGUAACCAGGAUAGGCCUAUUCAUCUUACUGUGGGUGGACUGAAGCUGCAUCAGUGUCUUGUCAGAGUUAUGGGCAGAAAGAAGACUGAUGAGAAACGCACCAGUGACAAGAUAUCUGCUGCAGUAACUGUGAGCGAGGACUAUCAGCAUUUUAAGGUUGUAGACUAUACUGGCACCAUGCAAUGCCACGUCACUGGAGUUGGAGCAAACAUCAUGGCUCUACCACAUCAGCCUUCCUGCGACAACGCUCAGCCUCAUCAGUCAGAUCUGCCAGGCACAUAUCAGCAAGAACUGUGAUCCUCUCAUGUCACCCACCUUGGCUCAAAGGGGUUGUAGACUACUGGCACCAUUCAUUGCCACAUCACUGGACCGGGAGCAACCAUCAUGGUUCCGCUACACCUUCCUGCGACAAAGCUCAGCCUCAUCAGUCAGGACUAAUGGAUGGACCAUACAGCAAUUAUGAUCAUCAUCAGGAUCAGCCAUGCAGACUUCAGCAGAGACAAUUAAUGCUCCUCUCAGGUGGAUCUGGAAGGCAGACUGAUGGGGGCUUCAGAGGCUCGGCUAGUAGUCAGGAAUUUACAUCUCGUACCGAUCGGAAGACGCACCUGAAGUUGUGCACGUUUGGAUAAAUCUGGACAGCAUCACACUAUAGAUGGAAAUGAGCGUUUGAGGGGGGAGGGCGAUAAUUGGCCAGACGGCACCCCUCCUUCAUCUCGACCACUGCAGCUUGAAGAUUUAACUUUUAGGUUUUGGAGCCACGAAGGAACUGGAUUGGUGCACAUUAUUCAAUUGAUCGCGAAAUGAACAAAAUUUUAAACCCGCGUAAUUUCUCGCAAUGUGACUUGACAGUUAAUUAGAACUGCUUCAAGUUUGCCCAUACUUCUGAACUAUUGCUGAUUUGGAUGUCUGUGUUCGUCUUGCAAGAAGAAAGGGAUUUAGUUCUCAAACUGUGUCGAUGACGCGUGAUCACUGGACCCUAUGGAGAAACCAUUGUGCGUGCUUUUAACAUUUAUGAAUGGAAGACCGAUGGAACUGUUCAUCUUCGGAACUUUCCUGAGUGGUGGUGGGAAAUAUUGAGACAGCUGAGUUUUGAAAUAUUUGAUAGUUGAAUUGUUAUUUGUUACCUCAAAGGUAUUUUUCAAAGUCAUGUGUUGACAUGUGACUGUUGUGCAUUUAGAGAAAUCAUUGUGCAUGUUUUCAACCUUUUGUUGAACUGAGACUGACGGAAAUUUCAUCAUCAGAAUUUUCAUAAGUGGUGGUGGGAAAUAUUGAAACAGCUGAGUUUUUAAAUGUUUGAUAUUGUAAUUAUUUUGAAGCUGUGAUUUAUUUGGUCAAAAUUUUGAUGCUUAAUAAUUGCUAUUAAGGCGUCCCUCUUUUUAUUCAAUGGUUCUCAUUUCUGAUGAUGUGAAUCAGUAGCGUAUCCAGCUUUUGAUGUCAGGGGGGCAAUUGCACAUCAGCGCAGAAAUGUUCACUUUUUUCUCAGGAUACUUGGCCUCCGUAAAAUAAAAAAAAAAAAAGGGGGGGGGGCCUGUAGGCCUACCCAUCUCUCAUUUUAUGCCCAUUUUCACGUUGCAUUGUAAUGGUUUUUGAGAGGGUUUUCUGUUUUGGAAUUGAUAUCAGAACUCCUGCCCCCCCCCCCCCAGGAUACGCAACUGAUGUGAAUUCACCUUAAAUGAAUAAAACAAUUGCAUAAAAAUAUAAGACGAGGCAUACUUUGCAUCAAUGAAUUAAUAGGUCGAAUUGUAUUUUUCUUCAGAUUUUAAUUUUCUGCAAAGUGACACUGCCUACUUCAGA